This 461-nucleotide ribosomal RNA is filed under the name uncultured bacterium. RNAcentral's name for it is "partial 16S ribosomal RNA". It matches the Rfam family "Bacterial small subunit ribosomal RNA", at positions 338 to 795 of the family's 1533-position model. The record is from RNAcentral.
CCUACGGGGUGCUGCAGUGAGGAAUAUUGGUCAAUGGGCGAGAGCCUGAACCAGCCAAGUCGCGUGAAGGAUGACGGCCCUACGGGUUGUAAACUUCUUUUGUCAGGGAGCAAUUGGGUCCACGCGUGGGCUUAGCGAGAGUACCUGAAGAAAAAGCAUCGGCUAACUCCGUGCCAGCAGCCGCGGUAAUACGUAGGUGGCGAGCGUUGUCCGGAUUUACUGGGUGUAAAGGGCGUGCAGCCGGAGAGACAAGUCAGAUGUGAAAUCCACGGGCUCAACCCGUGAACUGCAUUUGAAACUGUUGCCCUUGAGUGUGGGAGAGGUAAGCGGAAGUCGUGGUGUAGCGGUGAAAUGCGUAGAUAUAAGGAAGAACACCGGUGGCGAAGGCAGAAUACUGGACGAUAACUGACGGUGAAGCGCGAAAGCGUGGGGAGCGAACAGGAUUAGAUACCCUAGUAGUC